AUUUGAAGUAAAAAGAUAAUUUCCUUUUCUUUUCUUUUUUUCUUUUUUUUGUUUUUUGUACUUUGCCCUUUCCUUUCUUUUUCUUCCCACGUUUUCUGUCCAUUUUCCCUUCUUUUUUCCAUUUUCCUUUUCCUCGUUCUUUCUUCUUCUUCUCCCUUCAAUUUUCUCUGCUCUGACCCGCCACAAGAUUAUCGUCCCGCCACCUUGAAUCAGCCAUCAGCCGUCAAGCCCAGUAACCUAAAGAUCUAAGCUAGGGCCAAAGACAGCUUAGAGGUAUCAUUAUUGGUUUUUAUUUGUUGGGUUGUUAUCUAUUUUGUUGGAAAAUAAUGUGAAAUUCAAAUUAGGUUAUAAAUUCAUUUAUUGGGUUUCUAUCGAUUCAUUUAUUGGGUUGCAAUGAAAUAUAUGAGAUCUACAGUAAAUUGAAGGUUCAAACUCCAUUGAAAAUGUUUUGGGUUCCAAAUUAUCAUAAUGUUUUGAGUCAAUUCAUUUAUUGGGUUGUAGUGGAAUAUCUGCGAUCUACAGUAAAGUGAAGGUUCAAACUCGAUUGAAAAUGUUAUGGUUUCCAAAUCAUCAUAAUGUUUUGUGUCCUGAACUUCUGAUUAAUAUUGUGCUUCAACUAAUUUAUGAGAUGGAGUCGUUGUUCUGACUUUGUUUUGUCUUUGUUCCGUGUAUCCACUUUUGGCUCUGGUUUCCAUUGAACCUUAUUCUACCACAUUAAUUGUAUAGUACGUACUAUAAAAUGCUUAUUCAACUGUCUUAAUUUAUUGCCUUAUCAAUCAGAACUCUGCAAUAAAGAAACUGUCUUAAUUCUCAUUCAGCCUGAAUCCCGCUGUUAGUUUUUACUUACAAAGAUACUAUGACCAAAUCUCUUCUUAAAGCAUGGUUUAAUCAGGGAAAUUAUAUGCAAAAAUUGACUUACUAGUACUGUUCUUGCCUCAGUACUUCACUUAGUUGAGGAUAAUAAAUUGAGUUUGAAAAGUGAAAGUUCAAUUAUCAAUUUUGUCUUGUUAAAUAAAGGGCGUGAUGAAUCUUUCUGUAAUUCCAUUGAUUUGACAUUAUUUGAAUACAAAAAGCUAAAGAAUUGCUUUAUAGUUGCAACUUAACCCUCUAUACAUGCCCCCCCCCUUUACAGUUAGGCCUAAACAAUUGGAGGCCAGAGUCAACCUACUACUGUUGGUUUUUCGAAAGUGCUUAUUUCUUGUUACAUGAAUGAGUAAUAAAAAAAUUAUUAAGCAAAACUAUAUUGCAAAUAAACAAAUAAUUAGGCUUGCCUGAGUUAGUUAAUAAGGAUCACGCGGUCAAUAGAACUUCGAGAAGUCAAGCUAAAGUUGAAGAACUAUGGGAAUCUGUUUAGUCUUGAGGCAUCACUCACGUCGAUCUCAUGCAUUACCUUAUUUUAACCUGCUUGAGUCUUAUUUUAUUAAAGUGUUAGAUCCAUGUAGAAAUUCAUAUAUGGCUUUUCAUUUAAUCUAGUUAGAUUGACCAUUUAGUUAUUCCAUUAAGGCAUUGAUGCAAAAUUUUCAGCAAUUUGGGUUUGGUUUUAUACUAUUUAUUUAUUGUUCAUUUUUUUGCACUCUGUUUUUCCUCCCCAUAUUUUAAUUCCGAAUGAAGUUCUUCGAUCGGAAAUCUCUGUAGAAAAGAAUAGGGAUUUUACGAAAUGAACUAUUAUAGUUUCAAAUCCUCUUUGAAAUUGAAAAUAUAUUGCAAAAUUAGAAAAAAAAAAAAUAAGAUUUUUAAAUUGGGUGAACAGAUUUUAUUUAUUUUUAUCUGUCCCCUCUCCCUUCCCCCUCCAAUUUUUUUGGGUCUUAUUAUCAGUCUACCUACAUUUUUAAUCUUUACGAGGAAAACCACCGGAUUGGGAGGACUUUGUUGGGAUUAUUACUCUUCUGGUCAUUAACUCAACAAUCAAUUUCACAGAGGAGAACAAUGCUGAUAAUUCCUUUCCUUGUCUGCCAUUUGUUAUUGUUGAGCAGGGAGAAUUAAUUUUAGUUAAUUAUGAUUUGAAUUCAAAUAGUUGCUGGAGUUUGUGAUUUAAGUUAAUAUUGAUGUAUUGUUUCUCGUCCUUUUUGUUGGUUAGUUAUAUAUUUGGUUCCUGAUUCAUAAUUUUGUGAUCUUUGAAUACAUUUUGUUAUAUAUAUAUAUAUAUAUAUAUAUAUAUAUUUUUUUUUUUUUUUUUAAAAAAAAAAACUUGAUUUGCUCGAGGGACAAGGAAGACAAUAAAUUCUCAGCUAUGGCAUGCUUGUGCUGGUCCAUUGGUUUCCUGGUCUCGGGUUGGAAGUCUAGUGCACUAUUUGAUAAGGAGCACAAAUUUGGUUAAAAUCAGUUGCAUAUCUAACUCACGAGGAUGCAGAUAUGUAUUUUUUAGGUACAUAAUAAUAGAUACAGAACAUAUUUGCUAACUAUUUUUAAGUUUAAAUGUAAUUAUAUUUGGUGAAUGAUUUUUAUUUGUGUUUUUGAUGAAAUACUUUGGAUUCAAUGUUAUAUUGACAUGUCUUAAUUAAUUUAUUGUCUUUUUGUAUCUUUAUAUUAUUUUGAAUAAAGUAAUAUAAUUUAUUUUUUCCCUAUGAAUUAUUUCAUAAUAGCCCACAAAUAUUCUUUCCCUCCAAAAAAUUAUUUUUAGUGAAACACAGGGUUUAAUCCACAAAAUAAUUUGUAACAUGUUGUCACAAAUUUUUAAUUGCAGGGAAAAAUAUGUAUAUCUUAGCCCAUAGAUAUCCUUUUCACACAAUUUAUUUGUAGGGAAAAGUGAAACCUUUUUGUGGGCAAAAUUAACUUUAGCCGACAAAUUUUAAAAGGUUUCGUAGGAAAAAUUUUUAGCCUACAAAUUUUAAAAAUUUAUCGUCUUUUACCUAUCCCGUCGAUGUUUGCCCCACAAAUGUGUCUACAAAUUUAUUUCGUCCGCAAAAGUUUUUUCCUACAAAUAAAAACCUUUUACAAUUUUUUUUUUUUUUUUUUUGUAGGAAAAACAUAAAAUUCUUGUAAUCGAAAGUGUUCAAAAUUUAUGUUAAUAUAAUUAAGUACUUAUUAUCGUGGGCAAAUAUGACUACAAAUCCACAAGACACCUAGAAAAUGACUAAUAUACCAAAAGUAUGAUAUCAAGGACACAGUAGUGCCUUUGGAGAAAAAAUAAUUAAAAGUAAUAUUUACUGAUCAUUUAAUUGGUAAAUUAAGACUUUGGUAGGUUUAAUUUUGAUUGGUAUGCUAGCAUAAAAAAAUUUAUAAUGUGUUCCAUCACCAAACAAAAAUGUUUAAUAAAUUAUAUAUUUAAAUUAACUGAAACCCGUAUUUCUUAAUUACUUUCUCUGAAGGCAAGUUAUUGGUUAAUUAUCACGGCGGUCACUAAACUUCUAUCAUUGCUUCUCGUUAGUCACUGAACUUAUAUCCUAUUUAUAUAUUUCUGACAAUAUAAGAGUCUUAAAACUGGGUUUUUUCCCCCACUAAUUACGUUUAUUUUUCACAAAUACUCCAAAUAUUACACUUCUCAUAAUAACUUUUACAAAAAUAUAAUAUGUAUAUUACACUUUGUUAUACGAUUAAUUAUUAUAAUAUUUAUAACCUACUAUGUUAUAAAUGUAAAACACUUAGCAUACCAUGUUGUGCUUGAAAUAUACAUGUAACCAGGCCCGAUCCUGGGCCGAGGCGAAUGAGGCCUGCGCCUUAGGCCCAAGAUCUUAGGGGCCCUCAUUUUGGUCCUAAUUUUUUUUUUAGUUCAGUUGGCCCAAAUGAAAUGCCCAAUCCAAUAACUAAACCAAUCCCAACCCAACAAUCCAUUUACCCAUGAAUCCCAACCCAACAAUCCAUUUAUCCAAAUCAAAUCCAAUCCGUUUAACAAAAUUCCCAAAUCUGAAAAGUGAAAAUUCAUAUCAAAUGCCUUGCCUCCGACUUUCACGAGCGACUGUCACUCCACCGUCACUCCCCUCUCCACAGUAAUAAUGACACAGUCCGGUGAGUGAUGUGAGUCCACCGCGAAUCUACCUUGGCCCUUCUUCUGGCUUUUACUUCUACCGCCGUCUUCGCUGCUCGCCUCCGUAGCCUGCAGGUCCACUGUCCGCUCCGCACACCGCACUCCACAGGCCACAGAAAUCCCCUUCCCUCCGCUACACUGUCAGCUUGUAAUAAAUACAGCCCUUUUUUAAUUACUGAAUUUUACAAUUUUUGAAUUUUAUUUUUGUUUUCUCAUUCUAUUUUGGAAAAAUUUACGACUUACUGAAUUUAUUAUUAUUAUUAUUAUUUUACAAUAAUUCAAAAAGAAGAACCAGAAGCCUCUACGAAGCUUUGCUGAAAGUCUGAAAGUUAAAGAAGGUACUUUUCAUCUUUCUCUUUAUCUGAAAGCGAGUGUGAAGUGUGAACAGGCAUGAAUUGGUAUAUAUAAAAGAUAAUUUGCGUUUUCUUUUUCCAAUAUUAUGAUUGAUUGAUUAAUUGCAAGUUGCAACUAUGAACCAGUUACUAGUGAAUGAUUUUUGGGCGAAUGUAGAAUUGAUUAAUUUCUUUUUCCAUCUCAUCUGUGAAUAUGUUCUUAAUGGUCUCACUGUCUCAGGCAUGCAAUCAAAUUGUGUUGAUAAAUGUGGCUUUCUCAUGUUACAUUUAAUUAUAUGUUGAUCAUAGUUGAUGAAGAGAAGAUAAGAUUUCAUAACAUACAGUUUAUACUUGUGCAUGUGGAGGUGAGCUAGUGCUUGUCAGCCCUCUUUUGCUCUCGUUCUCCUUGUAAAUGUUUGUGGCUUUCAUGGAAAAUUCUUCUGUUGUGCUUUAAAAGAAGCUUGUGUUCGUGUUCGUGUUCGUGUCUGUGUGUGAGAAAUGGAAAGAGAUGGACCCGAAGGAGGUUUGUUUACUUGGUUCUGCAUUUUGGGUGAAAAACAGCACAAAGUUGAAGCUCUAAAGAUCAAAAGAACAAGUGACAGACUUAAUCAAGAAUGUUUCCGAUGGUUUUCUGAAGAAAAAAGAACAGAAUGAGAAUUUGAAUGUGAGUGUUAAUUGAAGCUAUUAUUGAUUUUCCGAUGGUUUUUUAAAGACUGAAAAGCAAAAUUGAAGUAAUUACUGAUCAAAUUCAGUUCUAGAAAGCAAGAGAAUUACAAAAUCUAGAUCAAGGUUACAAUGACAAUGAUUAUCAGAAGAAAAUGCAAACUGUCGCGAGUGUUUGCACGAUAGAAAGAGGAUACAGAGGAAGAGAACGUGGUUGAGAAUACUUUUGAAGGUGGGGUAGGAUUGAGGCGUGAUUAGGAAGGGGAAUUUGUUUCUACUUGCUUGAGAUAAAAGGGGAGGGAAAAUGAGGAGGAAAAUCGAAUUUAGGGCUCGGAUUUUUGCUUUUGCUUCUCAAUAAGACAAAAUAUUUUUAAAAAAUUAUCUAAACAUAUUCUUAAUCAUAGAAGUAACUUUUAACUUUUCAAAAGUCUUGUUAAAACGAGUCCUUAAUGUCAUUUAACUUACGAUUGAAUUUUGCAAAAAUGUUUAAUUCAAACUGCAACAAACUCAAUUUAAUGUUCAUUUUCUAACUGAACAUUCUAAAAAGUAGAGGUAAAAUUGAAAUCUAAUCUGUCUUAAACAUGUUGCUGUGAAAUAGUCAAUUGGUUUCAAAAUUUUACAACAAACUGGGAGAUCUUGCUGUGAAAGGUUGAUGAAGAACAAGGAAAAACCAGCAACAAGAUCCACUAAAAUGGAAGGUAUUCCAACAGACCUUUCAUAUCAAAACAAUGAAAUCCACUUACUCUUGGCAUUACAAUUCGGUAGAUCUUCAAACAACGACAGCGAAAGCUAUUUUUGAGCAACACCAAUAUCGAACAGAAUAAGGCCGGACUUCGGAUCAUCGAUAACAAUGUCCCUAACCGGAAGCCAUAAAAAGAGCUCUUCCUGUGAGAAUCCCUCGACUCCGGUGAGACUGCCGUAAGUAAAAUUUUCCCGAACAACACUCUCAUAAAACGCCAUCGUAUCAAACCUAUAAGAUAGUCCCUUUCCAAUAAUAUAUUUAAUUGUAAGGGGACAAGCUUAUGGAUGAUACACAUUGUGCAUGACAUUGACAUACAAAUGGAUCCAUGAUGACAAUUUUUAUCAAUAAUAGAGCACAAAUAGGAGAGAAAAGGUCUUAAAUCUCACCUCCACAAUAUCACCUUCUUUGGCAACAAUCCAACAUACAUUUUCAGAAGUAAGAGUUUAAGCAUUUAGCAUCAUACUGAUUGCAGCAGACAACUGAGAUGUGAUGCAUAGUUUAUCAUAAUAUAAAGAGGAAAUAGUUAGUAGAUUUAAAAAUACUGGCUAGACCAAUUCUUUCAAAUCAUGAAUGCAAAAAUAUUUUUAGAUAUCUACUGAUUCAUGCUCUAAAUUUUUUGAUUUUCUUUUUGUCGUUUGUGAUUUCUGCUUUUUCUCCUAGCUAGUUGCUUUUUCUUUUCAUCAUUUUUACAGCCUGCUCGACUCCCCUAAGUUUUCAGUAGCUUAAAUUCAUCCAAAAUAUUUGUUUUUUUAUUGGCUUUUUUCCUUUUCUAAUCUAGUUAAGCUUGUGGUUCUCUGAUCUAGUAACAUUCAUGUUUUAACUAAAUUGAAGUUUUAUAAUUUAUCAAAUACUUGUUAUUUCUUUCAUUUUAAUCCAUCAUAUACUUGUUAUUUCCUUACAUGUUUUUUUUUGCUAUGCUAGAGCAUCGUUGACGGAAUUCAAAAAUUGAGAUUAGCUUACCACCGGUUCAGAAAACGGGAUCAUUCUUAAGGGUGUAAUUCCACAAUUUUCGUCAAAAUUUUACUUAUCAGGUAAGCAAUGGCUUACCCUAAGUUGUUAUUGAAGAAAUUGGAAAUGCUUGAAGCUUGGUCGGCUUAUAUAAUUGCAGCCUGGUCGGCUUAGAUGAUUGCUUAUUGUAGGAUGAACAAUUGCACAGGCGCACGUAGUAACUAUAUUGGAAACUAUAAUUGUGAGAUGAUUGAGUUAUUUAGUAAUUGUUUUUUAGGCUACUCAUUGGACAUUACUAUACCUCCUAAAUACAAGUCUGGUGUUCAAAAAAGGAAAAGAAAACGAAGUGAAAUUGCAUUAAUUCAAAGUCAAGCAGAUGAUAUUAACAAGUACUUCAAAAGUGACAAUGUGAAUGCGUUAACUGAGGAUGAAGUAGAGAUUAAACCUGCCCAUGUUAAUGAAGUGGAUGAUAAGGAUGAAGAAGUGAGUCAACCUACCGAUGUUAACGAAGUAGAUGAUAAGGAAGAAGAAGUGAUGAAGCCCACCUCUAAUAAUGAAGAAGAUGAUAAGGAAGAAGAGGGUUGCUUUUCUCUAAAUUUGGAUGAUCCCGGAAAUUGGAAAAUUAUUAAUCAAAGAAUAAGGGAUUACUUAGUUGAAAGGGGUCCAAAAAGAGUUGAUGACAUCUCAUUUCCGAAAGAAUAUACAAAUAGACAUUUCGAUUCUUCACAAUAUAAGCGAUUGCUACCAAAUGGGAAAACAGUUGAUAGAAGAAGACUAGUAUAUUCAGUAUCUAUGGACAGGAUCUUCUGCUUUUGUUGCAAGUUGUUUAAAACACCAAUAAAUGUGACAAAAGUUGGCCAACUAGGUAAUGAUGGAUUCAAAGAUUGGCAUAAUUUACAUCGGUCUAUUAAAAGUCAUGAAGGAAAUGAGGAGCAUUUACGUUGCAUGACUAGUUGGAUUGAAUUGGAAAAUAGGUUUCGAUCAAAAACUACAAUUGAUAAAAGUAUUGAAUUAUUGAUUGAUGCUGAAAGAGAACAUUGGAGACAUGUAUUAACAAGGAUAAUCGCUAUUGUUAAAAAACUUGCGAAAAACGCAUUGCCAUUUCGAGGAGAUGAUGAGAGGCUACAUGUUGAGAACAAUGGCCUAUUUUUACAAAUGGUUGAAAUGGUUAGUGAAUUUGAUCCAGUAAUGUAAGAGCACCUUCGGCGGGCUGAAGCAAAAGAGAUUCAAUAUACGUAUCUUGGCAAAAAAAUUCAAAAUGAGUUGAUACAGUUGUUGGCUAAUCAAGUGAGAAGUUCAGUUGUCAAGAAAGUUAAAGAUGUAAAAUGUUUCGCAGUUAUACUUUAUUGUACUCCAGAUGCAAGUCAGGAGGAGCAAAUGUCUUUAAUUGUAGGAUUUGUAGAUAAUUCGGCAAACUUACCUACAGUUCAAGAACAUUGGCUAGAAUUUUUGAAAGUAGAUGACACAACAGGACUUGGACUUGCAACCGAGCUUCAAAAAGCUUCGAUAAAAAUUGAUCUCGAUAUUGAUGACAUUAGAGGGCAAAGGUAUGACAACGGAUCUAACAUGAGCGGGAAGCACAAAGGUGUGCAAAGAAGAGUCCAUGAAAUGAAUCCCCGAGCUUUCUAUUCUCCAUGUGGCGCUUAUAGUCUAAAUCUAGCAUUAUGUGAUAUGGUGAACUGUUGUUCCAAAGCUGUAUCUUUCUUCGGAGUGAUACAACGCAUCUACACAUUAUUUUUCUCUUCUACCAAGCGAUGGAAAAUUUUCAAAGAUAAUGUACAAGGAUUGAAAGUGAAGCCAUUAUCACAAACACGUUGGAAAAGUUAUGUUGAAAGUGUGAAACCUAUAAUGGAGCAAACUGCGCAGAUAAGAGAUGCAUUACUUGGUUUAGCAUAAAGUAAUGAAGAUCCUAAAGUGAAGAGUGAAGCCGAGUCAUUAGCAACACAUGAACUUCAAAAUUUUGAGUUUUUGUUUGACAUGAUAAUCUGGUAGAGAUUGUUGCAUGCUGUCAAUAUUGUGAGUAAAUUUCUUCAAAUCGAAUCCAUGAAUAUUGAUCAUGCUAUCGACCUCUUGCAAGGGCUUGUUUCAUUUCUUGAAGAAUACAGAGAAAUUGGAUUUGCUAUUGCCAAAGAUGAAGCGACAAAAAAGGCAAACGAAAUAGGAAUUGAAGCUGUAUUUACAGAAAAACGCAUAAUUCGAAGGAAAAAACAAUUUGAUGAAAGCAGUAGUGAUGAGGUAAAACAAUCAGUAGAAGAAUCUUUUAGAGUUGAGUACUUUAUUUUUAUAAUUGAUCAAGCUCUAUCUUCUAUGAAGACCCGAUUUGAACAAUUCAAACAAUAUGAUGACACAUUUGGAUUUUUGUUUAGUUUGAAGAGGUUAAGGGGUGCAACUUUUUCACGUUUGUUGAAAUUUUGUUUGAAUCUUGAGAAAUAUCUUCAACAUAAUGGGCGUUCGGAUAUCAGUGGGGAUGAUUUAUGUUCGAAGUUACAAGUCUUGAGAUGUUAUAUACCAAGUGAAGCAAGAAGAGCAAUUGAAGUGCUACAAUAUUUGAAGACAUUGGAUGUUUGUUUUCUAAAUGCUUAUACUGCUUACCAAAUUUUAUUAACCAUACCGGUUACAGUUGUAUCUGCGGAAAGAAGUUUCUCAAAAUUAAAGUUGAUCAAGACCUAUCUUCGAUCAACUAUGUCGCAAGAAAGAUUAAACGGGUUGACUAUGUUAUCAAUAGAAAAAGAAAUGGUUGAGCAGCUAAAUUAUUCAGAUUUGAUUGAUGUUUUUGCCUCUAAAAUAGCAAGACGAAUGGUAUUUAACUAAUUGUUUGAAAUUUUUGGUUUGAUGGUUUAUAAUAUAAAUCAUUUCUAUGAUAUAUUUCGUUGUUAUUUUAAUGUUAGUUUUUUAAGUUAGCAAUAAGUCACAUAAUACACCUUUGAAUUUUGUCGCUGGGGGGCCUACUUCUCAUCGUCCGCCUGAGGGCCCAUAAGACACAGGACCGGCUCUGCAUGUAACCUAUUGUGUUAUGUCCACCUCCACCAACAACCACCUCCACUAUAGUCAUGCCAUCCAAACUCAUCUCACCACAUUAUCAUCACUCCAUCUCGCUGCCAUCAUCAUGACCAUCUCCAUCAUCCAAAAACACUGCAAAAUCGACAUCGCCACCACCAUUGAUGGUGCCUAUUUCCUCUACCAAAAAAAAAAAAAAAAAUCACAAUUUGCCACUGCUGCCAUUUUUGUGAAUUAAUUAAAUAAAUGCUCAUUAAAUUUCUCUCUAGGUUAUUACUUACUAUCUGAGCUAAAAAAAUAAAUAAAUAAAUAGUUAUUCAUUGCUCACUCAUGCAUUCAAAUUAUUACACAUCUAUCACAGAGUGAAAUCUAUUACUUCCACUUGAAGGAAAUUUCUACGUGUUUACACAAAUCGGAGGUGACACAGUGAUAACAUUAAAUUGUCAAAUUAAUUAACUAAAUGCUCAUUAAACUCAUCCCUAAAUGAUAAUUGCUCAUUAAUCAAGACAUAAAUAAGGCAUACUAGAGAGUUUAUAUAUUUAAAGGAAUGAAAAACGCAAAACUCCGGGUCUAAGAUAAGUGAAAAAUUAAUAGCUAAAGAUAUGUAAAAUUAUAAAAUUUGAAGCAUAAUUUAUAAAUAUUAAUAGCUAAAGAUAUUUAAACAUAUGACAAGGGUAAGGCUAAUUAUAAAAUUUGAAGCAUAAUUUAUAAAUUCUUAGCGAGCAGGUUAACUAUUUUUAUCUUUUUUCUCCGGUGUGCAUGUAUGGGCCAAAAUCUAGUCGAAAGUGUUCAAAAUUUAUGUUAAUAUAAUUAAGUACGUAUUAUCGUGGGCAAAUAUGAUUACAAAUCAACAAAACAUCCAGAAAAUGACUAAUACCAAAUGUAUGAUAUCAAGGACACAGUAGUGCCUUUGGAGAAAAAUAAUUAAAAGUAAUAUUUACUGAUAAUUUAAUUGAUAAAUUAAAACUUUGGUAGGUUUUGAUUUUGGUUGGUAUGUUAGCAUAAAAAAAUUAUAAUGUGUUCCACCACCAAACAAAAAUCUUUAAUAAAUUAUAUAUUACUUAACUGAAACGUGUAUUUCUUACUUUCUCUGAAGGCAAGUUAUAGGUUAAUUAUCACGACGGUCACUAAACUUUUAUCAUUGCUUCUCGUUAGUCACUGAACUUAUUUCCUAUUUUCUAUAUUUCUGACAAUAUAAGAGUCUUAAAAUUGGUCCCCCCCCCCCCCCCCCCACUAACUAUGUUUAUUUUUCACAAAUACUCCAAAUAUUACACUUUUAAUAAUAACUUCUACAAAAUAUAAUAUGUAUAUUACAAUUUGUUAUACAAUUAAUUAUUAUAACACUUAUAACUUAGUGUGUUAUAAAUGUAAAACUUAGCAUACUAAAAAAUGUUGAAUCAAAACCUUGAGGGUUCCCACCGUUCCGUCCCUGGAGUAUCGUGAGAGAGGUAAAUCACGGGAUGUGCCUCAACAGGUUAGGGAACAAGAGUUUGCUUGUACACUGGUAUCCACAAAGAGUACAAUAUCAUAUUUCAGGAAUCGAACCCUCACAUUGCGGCUGCUGGCAAAGUUGAGACUACCUCACUCCCAUCCUUUGCACCACUGAGAUAUGCUCCAGGAGGCAAAACUUAACAUACUAUGUUAUACAUGAAAUAUACGGUAACCUAUUGUGUUAUGUCCACCUCUACCAACAACCACCUUCACUAUAGUCAUGCCAUCCAAACUCAUCUCACCACAUCAUCAUCACUCCGUCUCGCUGCCAUCAUCACACCAUCACCAUCAUCCAAAAACACUACAAAAUUGACAUCACCACCACCUCAAAAGCACCACCAUUGAUGGUGCCUAUUUCCUCUACCAAAAAAAUCACAAUUUGCCACUGCAGCUAUUUUUGUAAAUUAAUUAAAUAAAUGCUCAUUAAAUUUCUCUAUAGGUCAUUACUUACUAUCUGAGCUUAAAAAAAAUAAAAAUAAAUUGUUACUUAUUGCUCACUCAUAUAUUCAACGGGGCAACUUUUUGCUCCGUUUGUUGCUUCGUUUAAUUUUUUUAUUUUUUAUUUUUACAUUUUCAAAGUUUCGAAUUAUGUUAUUAUUAGAUAAUAAAAUACAAAUUUAAAAUGAGUUUUUAACGGAUGAAUUGUCUAGAAAUAAAAUUAUUUUUAAUUAAUUUUUUUUUUUUUACUUUUUCUUCAUGAGGCCCGCGAUGAGGUGACCAUUUACGCCCCGCCCCACGCCUCGCGACGGGGCGAGUUUUUUUGCCCCAUUCGUGACGGGACGGGGUAAAUUGCCAUCACUACAUCACGGAGUGAAAUCUAUUACUUCCACUUGAAGGAAAUUUCGACGUGUUUACAGAAAUUAGAGAUGACACAGUGAUAACAUUAAAUUGUCAAAUUAAUUAAUUAAUUAAAUGCUCAUUAAACUUAUCCCUAAAUGAUAAUUGCUCAUUAAUCAAGACAUAAAUAAGACAUACUAGAGAGUUUAUAUAUUUAAAGGAAUGAAAAAAAAAACGUAGAGCUCUGGGUUUAAUAUAAGUGAAAAAUUAAUAGCUAAAGAUCUAAUUUCAUAAUAAUUUGUAAGCAUUGAUUAAGCUAAUUUUUGAAAUUAUUCUUGACUCUUCAAAAGAAAAUGAAGAGACAAAGAAAUGUGAGAUAUUAGUAAAAGAUAUUGCAAGAUAAUGCUUCUAUGUUUACGUACAAAUCAUAGCACUUCCAUAGUGAAAAUUGUACGAUAUUGAUGUUGAAAAAAUGACUUUGUUGAGCUAAUGUUAGCACAAUUUUAGGUGGGGUCCGUUGGUUCAAUUUGGAAUAUCAAAGUUGAUUUAUGUUCUCCUUUGUGAGAAUAUCGAAAUUAUAUUAACUUGUCAAAAUUGAUGCUCAGAUGAAUGAGAAAUUGGAGUUCAAAUUGGACCGUUGGAAUAUGGAUAUAUGUGUUGGAGGAAAACCAAUUAAAGUUUAUCCCACAUAAAAAAAAGAUGAAAGAAAAUACAACUUUAUAUAAGGCUAUACUUUGGAAGUGUUUAAUCAUGUGUAGCAUUGAGGUGCUUUCCAUGUGCUUGCGCAUGGGGGUGCAAAUCAAGGACUAAAUUAGAAUUUUGGAUCUUGAACUUGCGUGCUAACAUGACCAGCUUACAUGAAUGUCGGACAGAACGGACCAAAAAUUGGCCCCAUGGGAGUGUCCACAUUUUUAUUUUUAAGGACACUGUGUUACAGGCCUCGGUUUGCUGGUUUCUUCCCUUCUGUUUGUAAUUUUCUAUUAUGCUCUUCCAGUAUAUAAAUAAUAUAUUAUAUUCUGCUAUUAUUUGGCUAACAAUUGAAGUCUCGAGUAUUAAAAUUUAGCAUAUCACAUUCAUGCUUAUAAGACUUGUAUUUGGACAUCCCUAAAGGUCGUAUGGGUUUGAGUCUAACCGAUUGGUUGUAUAUUGUGAUUAGAAAUAAACACUUCUUAUUCCAAAAUAUAUUUUCCAACUAUGAUGCACUCAUUUUUAGCUACUGAUUCAUGAUGAGAAUUAAGGUUCAAAUGCUUGUUUAUUGCUUAAUCAUGAAGGCAUAAGAAAAGGAUUUUGGUUCUUUAAUAGGAAUGGCAAUGGUGCGCAUAUGGUAUGAGUCGGCCAUUCCCACCCCUAUUUUGUUGGGUAUUUUGUUAUUUUACCCUAUAUUCAUACCCGAUUAAAGCGGGAUGGGAUCAAGGCAGGUCACCUGCCCCAUUUAUCGCCUCAUUUAUUUUUUCUUUUUAUUUUUUGCUUUUAUUUUUUUGUCCUUUGUUAGUAAAUAUCAUUACUUUUUUACCAAUUUGUUAAAACAACUUAUGUUCACUUUAAAAAAUGAUGAUAAAUCUAUUACUUUUGUUGGAUAAAAACUUAAAUUUAAAAUUAACUUUAAACGGGACAAUGACUCCCGUCCUGUACCCGUCCCAUUUACCCGGUUAGACAGGGCUCCAAGGGUAUCAGGUUGAAUAGAUUAUUUUGGUGUCCCUAAUCUUUAACUUCGGAUGGUUGUAUAUAUUUUUCGAAUACUUGCGCUCGCAUCCAAGAUCAAGAAUGCAGUGGUUGCUGAAGGCUCGACACCAUUUAUCUUUGGUGUCUAAUAUUUCUACACCAUGAGGACUAUUAGUAAUUUGGUGGUACUUAUGAACCUCACGUAGUUAUUCAUAUGUUUGAGAAGCAUAAAUGUAGGAAUGAGGCCGACGUGAGUGUUCGCUAAAAGUGCUUGUCGCAAGUGCACGGAUCAGAUUCAAGUAAUAAAGUGAACAUUUUGAGUCCGGAUUGUGAUCUCUCGAUGAAUGUUUACUUUAGAUUACACAAUUUUAAUUAAUUUAAUUCUAACAAUAAAACAAACGCACAAUAAAUAUUUGAUUAUGGAAAAUAACUAAAAAUCUACAAAAUAAUAAAAAUCUUGGGAAUUUUGGAAGCAAACGUGGUCGGGAUUCAUGGUUUCGUUUAACCGUCAUCUAAUUAAUUUCUCUAAAAACCAGUUAACAAAUUACUCAUUUAUGAUGUUGGACACAAUCUUCCAAUUUUAGUUAAUUACCUCUCUCGAGGGAAAUUAACUCUAAUUGAUUGGUUUAACCUACUAUAUCUUUAUAUCGAUUAAAACCAAACAACCGUAUUAACUCUAUGUGAAAAUAGUUCAUUGGGUCACCUAGGGUUAAGGGUAUGUCUCUAUCCCCCACACAAAUCUAAGGUUUCUACUAUUUGAUUUAAAAUGCACAAUCUUUUCUCGAACGAUGUACAAAUCAUAAAAUAUAACCAUUCAUUAUUCACGUAAAUGAAAAUGCAACAAUAACAAUAGUAAAAACACAUGAAAAUAAGUAACUUAACAUUAAAGAGUAAAUAUUAAAAUUAAUUAAAAACUAGAUUAAGUUAAUGUCAUAAAUCUCAACACAAAUGUUUAGCCCAUGUUAUAUAAAUGGUAAAUUUCAUACAUUACAUUGCAAGUUCGAGAAAAUAAUGGAGAAAAUGCAAAGUUAUAGAUGAAACCAUUUUAGAGCUCGAUCUUGCUUUCCCCAAAUAUUUUUCCACUCUUUCUUGAUGUUCUGCUUUUUCCAUUGAUUGUGUCCUCCAAAAUAUCAAGGAAACAAAAAUGAAAAAGAAAAGAAAAUGAAAAAAUGAGAAAAAUAAAGAAGAAAGAAAAGAAAAAGAUAUAAAAAGAAGGCGCUCCAGCCCGAAAGAAGCAGAAUCCAGAAAAUCCCCGUCUCGUCUUUUUACAAUUCAUUAAAACCCUUUUCAGAAAAUUGCAAUACAAGUCCCCAGAAUUUUGGACAAAAGGCAAAAAGGUCUCGAGCCUUAUUUUGAUUUUGAAAAUGCCUUUUGUGUGUGUGUGUGUGUGUGUNNNNNNNNNNNNNNNNNNNNNNNNNNNNNNNNNNNNNNNNNNNNNNNNNNNNNNNNNGGGGGGGGGGGGGGACUGAUUGUUGUCAUUUAUGCAGUUAAGUCUCUGAGAUAAUUUCAUGGCAGGUCCCUCAACUUUGAUUUUGUACAAUUUGGUCCUCAAAAUUUGACUUUUCUUUAAAUUUUGCCCCAAAACUGCAAGCCCAUGUCCUCGAACUUUUCUUACUUGUGCACUUUGGUCACUGAAUUUACGUUUUUGUACUCUUUUGAUCCCUUUUUUCACUCCAUUUUGCUUUGUUCUCUUUUCUUGGAUGAUUUUUACCUACAAAAAUAAUAAUUACAUAAUUUUGAAUAAAAAUUCGCUCAUUUAAUCAAUAUUUAAACUUAUUUAGAUAUUAAAUGUGUAUGCAAAAAUACGCUUAUCAAAUUCCCUAAAAUUUAAGCUCUUGCUCAUCCCUUGCAAGAUUGUGUACUAACAUAAUCAUGUAAAAUGAGAUAAAGAUCAACACAUUAGAUAACUUGUCAUCAAUGAGUGUAAAAUUUUAUAAUCAAUUCACAAAUAUGUUCCAAGUAAUAGUAUCAUAAAUAAUUUGAGCUUAUCUGAUGUUCAAUCAGUUUGUGUGUGCGCGCGCAUAAUUACUUUUAAUUGUCAUUUAAAUUAGAAAGAGUUACUGGAGUUUGUGAUUUAAGUUAAUAUUGAUGUAUUGUUUCUCUUGUCCUUAUUGUUGGUUAGUUAUAUAUUUGGUUCCUAAUUCAUAAUUUUGUGAUCUCUAAAUACAUUUUGUUUUCUUUUAACAAGGAAGACAAUAAAUUCUUUGGUUUGAUUUGCGGCGUUUGAUUUGCUUGAGGGACAAGGAAGACAAUAAAUUCUCAGCUAUGCAUGCUUGUGCUGGUCCAUUGGUUUCUUGGCCUCGCGUUGGAAGUCUAGUGCAAGGAGCACAAAUUUGGUUAAAAUCAGCCGCGUAUCUAAUUCACGAGGAUGCAGAGAUGUAUUUUUUAGGUACAUAAUAAUAG
This 15979-nucleotide long non-coding RNA is filed under the name Olea europaea subsp. europaea. The record is from RNAcentral. Lineage: Eukaryota; Viridiplantae; Streptophyta; Magnoliopsida; Lamiales; Oleaceae.